This 496-nucleotide ribosomal RNA is filed under the name uncultured bacterium. RNAcentral's name for it is "partial 16S ribosomal RNA". It matches the Rfam family "Bacterial small subunit ribosomal RNA", at positions 29 to 507 of the family's 1533-position model. The record is from RNAcentral.
AUGAACGCUGGCGGCGUGCCUAAUACAUGCAAGUCCAGCGAACAGACGAGGAGCUUGCUCCUCUGACGUUAGCGGCGGACGGGUGAGUAACACGUGGAUAACCUACCUAUAAGACUGGGAUAACUUCGGGAAACCGGAGCUAAUACCGGAUAAUAUAUUGAACCGCAUGGUUCAAUAGUGAAAGACGGUUUUGCUGUCACUUAUAGAUGGAUCCGCGCCGCAUUAGCUAGUUGGUAAGGUAACGGCUUACCAAGGCAACGAUGCGUAGCCGACCUGAGAGGGUGAUCGGCCACACUGGAACUGAGACACGGUCCAGACUCCUACGGGAGGCAGCAGUAGGGAAUCUUCCGCAAUGGGCGAAAGCCUGACGGAGCAACGCCGCGUGAGUGAUGAAGGUCUUCGGAUCGUAAAACUCUGUUAUUAGGGAAGAACAAAUGUGUAAGUAACUAUGCACGUCUUGACGGUACCUAAUCAGAAAGCCACGGCUAACUACGUG